Molecule: small RNA, 133 nt
Filed under: Acidobacteriota bacterium
Lineage: Bacteria; Pseudomonadati; Acidobacteriota
Description: Acidobacteria bacterium c-di-AMP sequence
Rfam family: c-di-AMP riboswitch aptamer (ydaO/yuaA leader)
About the family: This family represents a conserved RNA structure found upstream of the ydaO and yuaA genes in Bacillus subtilis and related genes in other bacteria. The ydaO/yuaA element is thought to act as a genetic "off" switch for the ydaO and yuaA genes in its native state. It is believed that the element may be triggered during osmotic shock leading to activation of ydaO, a predicted amino acid transporter gene, and members of the yuaA-yubG operon which code for KtrA and KtrB K+ transporters.
Source: RNAcentral
CCUGCCCCGUAGCCGAAUCCUCCCGGCCGGGAGGAGCGGGGGACCCAGGUUAUCGGGGCGAAGCGCCGAAGCGCCGGGGACCUUCACCCUCGAGCCCGUCAGCUAACCUCGCAGGCGUCGUGAGGGAGGCGCC